RNAcentral lists this ribosomal RNA (429 nucleotides) under Acidobacteriota bacterium. RNAcentral describes it as "Acidobacteria bacterium partial 16S ribosomal RNA". It matches the Rfam family "Bacterial small subunit ribosomal RNA", at positions 355 to 776 of the family's 1533-position model. The record is from RNAcentral. Lineage: Bacteria; Pseudomonadati; Acidobacteriota.
UAGGGAAUCUUCCGCAAUGGGCGAAAGCCUGCCGGAGCAAUGCCGCGUGAGUGAAGAAGGCCUUCGGGUCGUAAAACUCUGUUAUAAGAGAAGAACAAAUUGUAGAGUAACUGCUACAGUCUUGACGGUAUCUUAUCAGAAAGCCACGGCUAACUACGUGCCAGCAGCCGCGGUAAUACGUAGGUGGCAAGCGUUGUCCGGAUUUAUUGGGCGUAAAGGGAGCGCAGGUGGUUUCUUAAGUCUGAUGUGAAAGCCCACGGCUUAACCGUGGAGGGUCAUUGGAAACUGGGAAACUUGAGUACAGAAGAGGAAUGUGGAACUCCAUGUGUAGCGGUGGAAUGCGUAGAUAUAUGGAAGAACACCAGUGGCGAAGGCGACAUUCUGGUCUGUUACUGACACUGAGGCUCGAAAGCGUGGGGAGCAAACAGG